This 87-nucleotide transfer RNA is filed under the name Actinomycetota bacterium. Its description in RNAcentral is "tRNA-Leu". It matches the Rfam family "tRNA". Rfam says of the family: Transfer RNA (tRNA) molecules are approximately 80 nucleotides in length. Their secondary structure includes four short double-helical elements and three loops (D, anti-codon, and T loops). Further hydrogen bonds mediate the characteristic L-shaped molecular structure. tRNAs have two regions of fundamental functional importance: the anti-codon, which is responsible for specific mRNA codon recognition, and the 3' end, to which the tRNAs corresponding amino acid is attached (by aminoacyl-tRNA synthetases). tRNAs cope with the degeneracy of the genetic code in two manners: having more than one tRNA (with a specific anti-codon) for a particular amino acid; and 'wobble' base-pairing, i.e. permitting non-standard base-pairing at the 3rd anti-codon position. Lineage: Bacteria; Bacillati; Actinomycetota. The record is from RNAcentral. RNAcentral also lists the same sequence under 2 other names.
GUCGAAGUGGCGGAAUAGGCAGACGCGCUAGGUUGAGGGCCUAGUGAGUGUAAACUCGUGGGGGUUCAAGUCCCCCCUUCGACACCA